This is a long non-coding RNA of Phocoena sinus (vaquita), 2986 nucleotides long. The record is from Ensembl. NCBI's taxonomy places the organism in Eukaryota, Metazoa, Chordata, Mammalia, Artiodactyla, Phocoenidae.
AAGUAUUUUAAAUACUGAAUUCAGUUAUUUUGUUUUGUUUUGAAUCUCAGCUGUAAUAGCUGAAUGGUUUAACCUAACUGGCUUCCUAAGAAGUUUAAGAUUUAGCUAAAAAAGCAGUUAACAUUCUUGUCUCUAUUUUGAAAUCAAAAAUAAUUUUUUCUAAACUCCUUCCUAGGACCAUUUAUGUGUCCCCCUAAAAAGGAGAAAGAGCUCAUUGAAAUAUUUGGGUUUUUUAAUUUUUAAAAAAUUUUUGUUUUGCUUUAAGUGAAAAAUAUUUUAUUUCUUUACUGCAUGCAUAGCACUUAAUGAAAUGGAUUUUUAAAAAAUCCACUGGUGAUAUCAGAAUGUCCAAGGAGUGGGCUGUCACUAAAAUUAUGGUUUACUUUACUUCUCUUCCACCUCUUAAUUGAAAUAUUUAGUUGUUAAACCAAAAGCCUCUGCAGUUAAGAACUUGCCUGAGUUUUAAUUCAGCAGCUUGACGGUUUGACUGACAUGCAUUAUAUAUAGCUCAAUUACGUCUGUUUUUUAUGCUAAGAAGGCAAACCACCACACACAGGUUAGCAAACGGGCCUCAACGUAUAAUUAGAAUAAACUUCUUAUACUCAGGGCCUUUAGGUAUGUUUAUCAGCAGUGUGGAAAUACAGUGAAUGGAGGAUGCCAGCAAGUUGUCAGAGCUUCUUGAAAUCCUGAACAGAAAGGCUCAUUGGUCAAAUCCAACACUCGACUUAUCAUUAUUAAAUAUUUCACUUGAAGGCCUAGCUUUCACCAGACUGUAGAAUAGUCUGUCUGCCUGGAAAUCUCUCCAUUCUUGUCCCACACUUUUUGCCAAUCUGGGGAGACAUUCUGCCCCGUUCUCCUCUCCCACCCAGCUACUGGGUCAUCCAUCCAUACGGUCACAGAUCAGUUGCAAUGACCUUCAGAGCACCCAUCCUGAGGAGGGAGGGCCCGCAGCGCAGCACUGCCUCCCCUCGUUCACAGGUGGGUUUCUGUCAGCAGGAUCUGCUUCUGAAGUCACUGCCAACCUGCCUGGAAACUUCCACAGCGCCUCCCCUGCCUCCUGUGACAGGAAUUAGCAGCCAAGAUAGGGACACCUGAUAGCGUUUCUACCAGGUCAGUCCUUACCUACACGGAGGCAUUCCCAUCUUAAUUGUUUCUCCUUAAGACAUUUCUGAACAUAUGCCAGGACAGGCAGAGUGAAAAUCCUCCCUAUGAAUGGACUCGUUUUAACGCCUGGCGUGAGGUCGGAUGUUUUCCCUUUACCCUUCCCCGCAGCCCUCUCCUAUCUCCACAUCAGUGUUUGCCAGUCACAGUCUUAACACGGCCCGCGGGGACGAGCAAUUUGUGUACUGUCACUGCAUGCCUUCUUUUCAUUAGGGUGACUUACUUGGAGCAGUUGCUCUUUGGAGCCUGUCAGGUCCAAGAAAUCAAAUGCAGUGCGUGUUCCGAAUAGAGGGGCAUCCGUGGUGAAUGUGCAGGUGGCUGUGGUCUGUUAGUUCAGAAAAUUGUCGUGUGCUAGUUGAGCUUGUCAUUAAAAGUCAACCAGCUGCCAUACAAGACCAGCCUUUGGCUGGGGGGUUUUAAGCAUCUGUAACUGCUAUAAACCUAGCCAUCCAGUUAGGAUAGAAUGUGCUUCUGUCUGGUUAAUAAAAAACCAUCUAAGAAAAUAUAUAUGUAUGUAUGUGUGUAUACAGUGGAAUUCAAGGACCAAAGCAAAAUUUGGACAGGAAUCUAUUAAUUUAGAAUUUUAUAAGAUAUUUAUUAAUAAAUGUUAUUUUUAAACAUUCCAUUUGAACAAUAUUCUUCUGUAGGAUCUACUUGUUUUUAAAGGAUUAGUUCAUAAUAAACUACUCUAGUUGUGUGUAUCUUCAUUUUACAGGGUUUCUAAUGGCUGUUCUCCAUCAUUUGGUGGAAAUGUUUGUUUAGACCUCUGUGCAUAGAAAUUUCAAGGAUUUGUAUUGCUCUGUGAGUUAUUUUUUAAUCUAUGUUUGGAACAGUUUUAAAUCAUCUAUUUCUUUUUUCAUUUUUAAAGUAAGCUCUUUCCUUUAGGAAGCAGAGUUCAGCUAAAGGGAAUCGGUAACUAUAACUGGAACAGCUCUCUUGUAAAAGUGUAAAAACAGCUUCAUCUCUGCUUCUCCCCACCGCACCCCAACUUCCCAGAAUGCCUUGCACUAUUCAGCUUCCUUAGUGCUCUUCUCGUCCCUUCCCAAACCGUGUGCAGUAGCUUUAAGCCAUUCAAGUUCCAUUAUGCAGUAUAUCUGAGAAGGGAAAGGAAAUAACCCGUUUAAAUUGGAAUAAAAUCGUGCCUAUGCAAACAGUAGCAAUUUAGAAUCACUCCUCUGCUUUUAAAAUAAUUUAUAUUUUAAAAUUGCACUUUAGCAUUUGUAAUCCCCGUCAGUUUCUCUCGUUCUCUUUCAGACCUCCUCCCUGCCCUUAAACUUCCCUUCACCCUCCCCUUCCCAACUACCCCACGCUUCCUCUAAGGCUCUGAGCUGCAUCAUUUAAAAUACUUUACGGAACAUUUGCACCAGGUACAUUUGCGUGCGUUCACCAGUAGCAUAGCCAAGACGCAUUGCUCACAUCAACCUAGAUGAAGCCUGCUACGAGAAUGCCAAGGAGAAGAGCCAGUAUACUCUUUCUCCCUUUAUUCAUAGCAUGUUUUUAAAAGAUGUUAUAUUAUGCAACAGAUGUGAGGGAGCAGCUAUGCUACACUUAAGAAUUUUCUGUCUUAUCCUCCAACCAAAGUAUGCUGAAUGAGCCAGGAGACAUUCCCUUGUGCAUCACCAUGCACGUCAGACUGUCGUCCUCGCCAUCGUCUCUCUGGGCUGCUGAAAAAAAAACGGUGACCCUAACUAUUUCACUCCUAGGUCUCAAAAAUACAAUGUUGCCUUGUACCAUAAUUAGGGACAGCACCUCUAUUUUACAAUUAUAACCUAAGAAAGGACAAGAAGACACUGCAGCAAUAAACUUACAAGUAAGAUCCAAUACC